RNAcentral lists this ribosomal RNA (490 nucleotides) under uncultured bacterium. RNAcentral's name for it is "partial 16S ribosomal RNA". It matches the Rfam family "Bacterial small subunit ribosomal RNA", at positions 30 to 507 of the family's 1533-position model. The record is from RNAcentral.
AUUGAACGCUGGCGGCAGGCCUAACACAUGCAAGUCGAACGGUAACAGGAAGACGCUUGCUUCUUUGCUGACGAGUGGCGGACGGGUGAGUAAUGUCUGGGAAACUGCCUGAUGGAGGGGGAUAACUACUGGAAACGGUAGCUAAUACCGCAUAACGUCGCAAGACCAAAGGGGGGGACCUUCGGGCCUCUUGCCCUCGGAGUUGCCCAGAUGGGAUUAGCUAGUAGGUGGGGUAACGGCUCACCUAGGCGACGAUCCCUAGCUGGUCUGAGAGGAUGACCAGCCACACUGGAACUGAGACACGGUCCAGACUCCUACGGGAGGCAGCAGUGGGGAAUAUUGCACAAUGGGCGCAAGCCUGAUGCAGCCAUGCCGCGUGUAUGAAGAAGGCCUUCGGGUUGUAAAGUACUUUCAGCGGGGAGGAAGGGAGUAAAGUUAAUACCUUUACUCAUUGACGUUACCCGCAGAAGAAGCACCGGCUAACUCCGUG